RNAcentral lists this long non-coding RNA (1502 nucleotides) under Astyanax mexicanus (Mexican tetra). RNAcentral describes it as "lncRNA (ENSAMXG00005018785.1)". Lineage: Eukaryota; Metazoa; Chordata; Actinopteri; Characiformes; Acestrorhamphidae. The record is from RNAcentral.
GCACAACUGCACUUCACACAGCAAGUGUUUUCGCACACAGUCCUGUCUGAAACACUCGCGAUGUCGCUGUACCCGUCUCAGAUGAAAGCUUUCAAAAGCGCCGAGCCCAAAACCCUCGGGGCAGUGGAAAUGAUAAUUGGCACGCUGACAGUCAUUCUGAGCACUAUCGUCUAUAAACUGCACUACCAUAUCCAGCGGGAGAUCAUCAUCCUCAUCAUAAAUGGUGCUCAGCUCCUUAUUACUGGAAUUGUGUUGGUGCAUGCUGGCAGGAAACCUACUAAAUGCCUGGUGGGUACAAACAUUGUUUUGCAGCUCCUGACCGCAGCGUUUGAUAUUGUUGGAUUUGGUCUCAUGGCCAGGCAUAUUCCUUUCCGUGGGGAGUCUUAUUAUUACAGAGACACUGAGUUUUUGGUGAAUGGGAUUUUGUGCACUCUGAUUGGUUGCUUGGUGCUGGCAUGUAUUAUUGGUCUGGUCGUGGCACUUUUUGGUGUGUACGCCCUGUCUGUCAGUGCUAUUAAGGUAAGUGCAAAAAACAUGUUUUCAGGGUUGUUUUCAGGUCUGUUUGUGUAUUGGUCAAGGUUACUGCAACUCACAUGUUUGGAUAAUGAAGGUUAACCCUGUAUAAUGUGUAUUUAUGCAGUAGCUGGGCUAAAGCCAUCAAAUUCUGAUGUAAACUAAACUUGUUAUUGAGUUAUUUAGCAGCUUUUAAGGUUAUAUUUCUCCUCCAUCUAUGCCUUCAGGACAUGACACCAAUUCCGAACGCCACAGGAAAUCCACAGUUCAGUGCUGGAGGACACACCAGGUCUGCAGUGCAUGAUGGCAACUGACAAGAAUAAGCACAUUUACAAGAUAAGAUCAACAAUUUCAGCACAGUUUCACACCAAUCAAAAAAAGAUUGUUUCACCUACAAAAAACACUCACAGUAAAAAAAAAAAUCUUUUGUGACAGUGUUAAGAGUUUGUAUGUAGGUAAAGCUGGCUAGCUGUCUACUGUUUGGCUACCUUCUCACAUUCAGGCUCAUGCAAUUUUGAUAGCUUAGCUAUAGCUUAGAAUCGCUGCUAGAACCGCAUUCAUUUUGCACCGAUAGGCAAUAGUUUCUUUGCAUGAAAAUGUAGAAGCAAUAAUUAGCAUUAUGCGCGAAUGCUGUAUGAUUGUUUGAAACUGUCAGGGUUCAAAAUAAGAGAUUACUCUCAGAACCUAUAUCUGUACUGGACUACAUCUGUUUGAGAAACACAGAAGAGCUGUGGUUUGGUAACAAUGGGCCUCAUUCAUGAACCAUGAGCAGAACACGUAAAUCAUAUACAAAAACACUUGUAAAUGCCCACAUUAAAGUGUACAUAGUCUCUGUUCGUAAGUACAAACUAAAUUUGCACCUGCUUCUGGCCACGUGUAAAGUGUGUAUAACAUUUUGGCACACUAUUUGGCAUGCUGUCUUUAUGCACUUUAGUUUAAGUGGAAUUAACAAAUUAUUUUAAAAAAUAAAAAUAAAAUGACACCUGUCA